AGUAAAAUUGACACCGAACCGUUACCUUCUAUUUCUAGCAGCUGGAUUUUGAUCUAACGGCUUGGAUCGCUGUAGGGGAAAACGGCCGACCGGCUCGCCGGAGCAGAGCACCAGCGCGGUGGCGCCAUUGGAGCACGUCACCGGAGUUCAAGAACUCCCGCUGCCGUCCACCAAAAACAAAACCGAGUACACCGAAAUGUAGAGGAGCUUCACGCGAACGCACCUAGGGGAUCGUUUCGGCCUAUGAGUGGGCAGAGAGCUAGCGCCGCGGUGGGGGACGAGUGCGGCCUCGGCGAGAUCCGAACUUCAGCGUUCGUGGCGGCUAAGGCUCGAUUUUGUGGCGGAAACGGAAAGCAAGCGCGCGGGGUACGAUGCUUAGGACUUUAUAGGGGUCGGGGAAAGCAAAUCCUGCCUAAAUCGGGAUUGGGUUGGUUGGGGGAGAAGUCCUUCUCGGACACACGUGAGGAAGGUGAAAGGAGGGGAGGGAGUGUCGCUGACGUGCGGGGUCCACUUGGCAGUGACUACUAGAGAAAGGGGGAGAACGCGGGGUAGGCUGGGCCGCGGUUCUAGCUGGGCUGGGCGCGUGCGCUGGCUUGGGCCGAGGCCGCUUGCUGGGCCCAGACCGCGAGGAGGGAGAGGGAAAAUGAGCUGGGCCUUCGGGCCAAAGUUUCGGGAAGGAGGGAUUUUCUCUUUUCAUUUUUUUUUUGUUUUCCCUUUCUUUUAAAAACCUAUUUCAAAACAUUUUCAAAACCAAAUUUGAAACCAUUUCAAAACCAGUUUGAAUUAUCCUAAAUUUGAUUAAAUUCACACAAUACAAUAAAAUACAUGCUCCAGCAUGAAUGCACAUCCAUGUUGCAAAAUUCUAUGAUGAGUUUUAUUUUAAUAAAAAUAUUAUUUUCCUAUGUUUCAUGAGCACAAAAUACAGAUUUAAAUCAAAUCCUUCUAUUCUAAAGACUUGCAUAAUUUAGGGUGUUACACAUAGUAUGAUAUGAACAAAUGCAUAGAGUAGACCUCUCAAACACUGUAUGCUUGUUCUAAUGCUAGUUUUGCCAUUGUCCACCCAAUGGUCAAAACUCUAAAGGACUUUGCAUACUUUUGCUGCAACGUAUGGAAAGAUCCUGGAUUGCUAAUGGGACACGAUUUUCUCACAGAUGUUCAUCAGAGGAGUUGAAGACUUCAUGUAUGCAGUGAAACAAAGAUACCCAGGGCGCCAAAACAUCCCUUGCAUGUGUGCACAUUGUAUUAACCAUGUGGAGAAAUAUUGGACCAGGUGAAGGAAGACAUAUUUUUAAAUGGCAUGGCAUCCAUAUACACCACAUGUCAUUAGAGGAGCACGAUGGCAGUGUCGAUGUUCUGGCCUUGGGCCCACACGAUAGAGAAGGAAAGGGGGAAGGAGGUGAUGGAUGGGGACAGAGUGGUGACGGCAAUGUCAUUUCUAGUGGUGACAACAAUGUCAUUUCCACCUGACCCCACAUGAUGGUGAGAGGGAUGGGGGGAGCAGAACGAUGAUGGUGGUGGCCGUGCUAGUGACAAAAAUAAGGGAGUCACUAAGCUCGCCGAGGUGGGUUAAGCUGAUUGUGUCAGUCUCUAGUGGUGUCGGACGAGUGCUGGACAGUGCUCAUGG
Molecule: long non-coding RNA, 1624 nt
Filed under: Sorghum bicolor (sorghum)
Lineage: Eukaryota; Viridiplantae; Streptophyta; Magnoliopsida; Poales; Poaceae
Description: long non-coding RNA (SBIC_LNC015006)
Source: RNAcentral